RNAcentral lists this long non-coding RNA (1325 nucleotides) under Olea europaea subsp. europaea. The record is from RNAcentral. Lineage: Eukaryota; Viridiplantae; Streptophyta; Magnoliopsida; Lamiales; Oleaceae.
UUCUUAAGUUCCUAUCCUUUUGGGGUAUAGCUUCCACUUAGCUAUGCCCCAACAAGUGGUGAACUUUAAUCGCCUCCUUAAUCUUAUGGAAUAGGUUAGGAAAUCCCGAGCUGAGUGCAAAGUAGUUUAAUUCCCUUUUCACAAUCAAGAAGGAUGGGAAGAACUUCGGCUGUUGGCAUACCAGUGUUAGGCUGAGGAUGGGUGAUUCCUUAGUGCUUGACACUCCCUCCUCCAUCAAGAAGUGGAAGGAAAAAUUCUUUUAUGUGUCAGGGGAGUGGUAGUUUCACCCUGUCGAAGUGAAUAGGGAGGAUGGUCCCCACACUCUACCAUUCUUUAUGUAAGUAACUAUCUUUUGAUGCUAUGGUCGAAGAAACUGGUGAAGUAAUAUUAAACUUUGCCUUGUUUUGCAGAUUACAAGAAGGUGACUUUGAAAAAGGACACUCAGAGAUGAGCUGAGGAGAUAAGGGCCUUGCUGAAGAGACAGAGUUCCUGUAAGUACGUGAUCUCGAAUUCCAACCUCUUCCGAGUGUGUUUAAUCCAAACAAGAGUCCUAAGUCCGUCCACAGUUGGAACAUUGACUUCCAUCCCAGCUAGUUCAAGUAAGGAUUAAGUUACUUUUUAUGGGAGAGCUGGUUAUUUUUUAUAAAAAUGAUAAAUGUUGUAUUUAUUUGUGUUUUUCAGCUCAUAAUCCAGAAAUGCUGGGAUAUAAGCCAACUAAGGUAGCAACUGCUGCUGCUAAAGGGAACAAGAGAGAGGUUCCAUCGGUGGUGAGCUUAGCUUCAGAGAAGACAGGGAAGGACGUCCAACCUCUGAAGAGGUACCGCCCUGAGCUGUCCUUUAAAAGCUUGCCUCCCCGACCUCGCCUUUGGUGCAGUCGAGCUCGCCAGCUACAGCUCUUUACACAGAGCAGUCUUCGGUUCCCACUACUGUUGCAGUCAUGCGGACCUUGGCCCUUUCAAUCACAUUAGUUGCUGAUUGCGCCAGUUCAUCGAGAUCGCAUGAAUGACACUUUAGGAAGAAUUUAUAUUUGGAAAACCUAAACAGGCUAGACUCACAAUUGGACUUUCUUUUUUAUUUUAAGGCUAAGGGUAGAAUUGGAGAGAGAAGAGAAUGGCACUGGCAUAUGGACUCCUAAUGGGGGGAAAAAAGAAAAAAAAUUGGAAUUAACGGAAUUAAAAGGUUCAAAUAUUGGGAAAUGAAAAAAUAGAAAAGAAAAAAAAAGAAUGAGAGAGACACGUGCUGAGAGAGGCAGAAGACAGAAAAAACGCACAAGAGAAAUUCAGCCAAAUAUUAGGAAAAACACGACAAACUCAAUUUGGAAAAUU